RNAcentral lists this ribosomal RNA (301 nucleotides) under uncultured bacterium. RNAcentral's name for it is "partial 16S ribosomal RNA". It matches the Rfam family "Bacterial small subunit ribosomal RNA", at positions 509 to 808 of the family's 1533-position model. The record is from RNAcentral.
CAGUCGCCGCGGUAAUACGAAGGGGGCUAGCGUUGUUCGGAUUUACUGGGCGUAAAGGGUGCGUAGGCGGACUGAUAAGUCAGGGGUGAAAUCCCAAGGCUCAACCUUGGAACUGCCUUUGAUACUGUUAGCCUUGAGUUCGAGAGAGGUGAGUGGAACUGCGAGUGUAGAGGUGAAAUUCGUAGAUAUUCGCAAGAACACCAGUGGCGAAGGCGGCUCACUGGCUCGAAACUGACGCUGAGGCACGAAAGCGUGGGGAGCAAACAGGAUUAGAGACCCCGCGUAGUCCCUGUCUCUUAUA